GAUGAACGCUGGCGGCGUGCCUAAUACAUGCAAGUCGAGCGAAGAGGGGACGGGUGAGUAACACGUGGGGAACCUCCCAGAAGACCGGGGAAAAUUAGGGAAAACGGAGGUAAUACGGAAACUUAUAGCUGGUUCCACUCGGCAUUAGCUAGUGGGUAAGGUAACGGCUUACCAAGGCAACGAUCCCUAGCCGACCUGGGAGGGUGAUCGGCCACACUGGAACUGAGACACGGUCCAGACUCCUACGGGAGGCAGCAGUAGGGAAUCUUCCGCAAUGGGCGAAAGCCUGACGGAGCAACGCCGCGUGAGUGAUGAAGGCCUUCGGAUCGUAAAACUCUUUUAGUAGGGAAGCGUUACCUAAACAGAAAGCCACGGCUAACUCCGUGCCAGCAGCCGCGGUAAUAC
RNAcentral lists this ribosomal RNA (405 nucleotides) under uncultured bacterium. RNAcentral describes it as "partial 16S ribosomal RNA". It matches the Rfam family "Bacterial small subunit ribosomal RNA", at positions 28 to 526 of the family's 1533-position model. The record is from RNAcentral.